GGACGAGGAGGCACCUUCCUCGGUGCCUGCUCGGGGUCGCAGCGCUGGUCUGCUCCGCCGCGCCGCAAGUGCUUUAAUCUCAGGGUUCCCCGAAAAGAUGACAGUAUCAGAAUGAAUAUUUAAAGCAAUAGCGAGGAAGCAACUAAAGGAGAAGCACAAAGCAGAAAGACAACUUUUCACUUAACAGACCUCUCAUGCCACCUGCUUCCUGAUUUAUUCUUUCUUGGGUACAACUUUAACUGCAGGAGUAAGUGGACAAGAUUUGCAAUGUAAACUCCAGGGGGCAAGUGAGAAGUCCCAGGUUUCAAAAGAACUUCUCUGCACUAAAUUAUCUAGGACAAAAUCCUAUCCC
Long non-coding RNA from Dromaius novaehollandiae (emu), 352 nucleotides. RefSeq lists it as uncharacterized. The transcript has 4 exons. The record is from RefSeq and is a predicted model, not a curated record. Lineage: Eukaryota; Metazoa; Chordata; Aves; Casuariiformes; Dromaiidae.